UACAGAGGGGGCAAGCGUUGUUCGGAAUUACUGGGCGUAAAGGGCGCGUAGGCGGCCCGCUAAGUCGAACGUGAAAUCCCCGGGCUCAACCCGGGAACUGCGUCCGAUACUGGUGGGCUUGAAUCCGGGAGAGGGAUGCGGAAUUCCAGGUGUAGCGGUGAAAUGCGUAGAUAUCUGGAGGAACACCGGUGGCGAAGGCAGCUCUCUGGUACAUGAUUGACGCUGAGACGCGAAAGCGUGGGGAGCGAACAGG
RNAcentral lists this ribosomal RNA (253 nucleotides) under uncultured bacterium. Its description in RNAcentral is "partial 16S ribosomal RNA". It matches the Rfam family "Bacterial small subunit ribosomal RNA", at positions 524 to 776 of the family's 1533-position model. The record is from RNAcentral.